RNAcentral lists this ribosomal RNA (253 nucleotides) under Coprococcus comes ATCC 27758. Its description in RNAcentral is "partial 16S ribosomal RNA". It matches the Rfam family "Bacterial small subunit ribosomal RNA", at positions 524 to 776 of the family's 1533-position model. Lineage: Bacteria; Bacillati; Bacillota; Clostridia; Lachnospirales; Lachnospiraceae. The record is from RNAcentral. RNAcentral also lists the same sequence under 2 other names.
UACGUAUGGUGCAAGCGUUAUCCGGAUUUACUGGGUGUAAAGGGAGCGUAGACGGCUGUGUAAGUCUGAAGUGAAAGCCCGGGGCUCAACCCCGGGACUGCUUUGGAAACUAUGCAGCUAGAGUGUCGGAGAGGUAAGUGGAAUUCCCAGUGUAGCGGUGAAAUGCGUAGAUAUUGGGAGGAACACCAGUGGCGAAGGCGGCUUACUGGACGAUGACUGACGUUGAGGCUCGAAAGCGUGGGGAGCAAACAGG